RNAcentral lists this long non-coding RNA (1853 nucleotides) under Homo sapiens (human). RNAcentral describes it as "HSALNT0225092". Lineage: Eukaryota; Metazoa; Chordata; Mammalia; Primates; Hominidae. The record is from RNAcentral.
GGGAUUAAAAGCUGGCCACUUGAGCCAGCAGCAGCAACAUGCUCUGGUAACCUUCCAUGGUGUGGAAGCUUUGUUCUUUUGCUCUUCACAGUAAGUCUUGCUGCUGCUCACUCUUUGGGUCCUCACUACCUCUAUGACCUGUAACACUCACUGCAAAGUUCUGCUGCUUCACUCCUGAAGUCAGUGAGACCACGAACCCACCAGAAGGAAGAAACUCUGAACACAUCUGAGCAUCUGAAGGAACAAACUCCGGACACACCAUCUUUAAGAACUGUAACACUCACCGUGUGGCUAUUUUCAUUCUUGAAGUCAGCGAGACCAAGAACCUACAGGAAGGAAUAAAUUCCGGACACAGAUUAAAUGUCAGCUGAAGGUUGAAUCGGGCAAAAACUGAAAGAAGACAACAGUUUGAAGGCUUCCCUUUCCAUUUCCAAACAUAAUACCAAAUGACUUAAAAUGAAUGAAGAUGCUUUAGAGCUCUGGGUGUCACGAUAAAACAUAAACUUACACAUUCACUUUGACCCACAUAUUGUCCUUUCUAAGAUGUUUCAAAAUGGGAAAAUCCUCUGUGUCAUUUUAUUUGAAAAAAAAAAUCAGGAAGCACCAUUGCAUGCAUGUGAGCCGAGCAGAUGUGCAUACAAACAUGCGUGUGUGUACAUGAAGCACAACCAGCAUUUGGAAUAUCCUCCCUCAGGCAAAGCAAGGACCUAGAGGCUGACUCCUGCGUAUUGUAUCACCCUGGCUACCUGGCCAACUGGCUUCAAAUUGGGCUUGACCACUGGGAGGUCCUGAGAGAAGACUGGAGGACAACAAGAGGCAGAGACUGUGGUAUUUCUUUCUUCCUACUGUGGGCCGGAUUGCUGGCACUGGCUGUGUCCUUCCAGGAACACAGCUCCCAAAGAGAGGCCCAUCUGCAUGGCCCCAGCUCUCACUGUUCUUUGCUAACACAACUUCCAUUCGUGCCUCUUUAGGCUUGGAAGUGGCAAAGCCUGUCCACUCUUGCUAGUCUCUGAGUGCCUCAUAUCCCUGAUUUUUCCCUUUUGCUCUAUCCACAACUCAGGAAGUAAUUUCUUCAUUAGAGUCCCCUGUACCACAUGGACUGGAUUCAACUUUCUGCUAUUUUCAGUAUUAAAUUAGUUAAUAUUUGUAGAAUGCUUACAAUAGUGCCUGACACAUAAUAAGCAUGCUUUAUGUUUGUUAAAUCAAUAAAAAUAAACACAUAUAAUAUAACACUGAGUCAUGUGUUCAGAGGAAAGGGGUGCUAUGUUUGUCCAGGCGGAAUCAAGAGCUCACCCCUGGUGUAAGAGUUUGUGGAGUCAAGGGGUUAAUACGCAGGAGAAAGAAAACCCCCAAGGUGACCAAAACAAUAGCAGCAACAACAAAACAGAGUUGUAUGCCAUACCCUAGUUCCUAAGGUUGCUAUUUUGGCCUCAAGGAUUCUUUUUUUUUAAUAUUGGUUAAACAUGCAUUUCAUUUUUCCAAAGUAGAAUUUGAAACUCUACUAACUCUACUAACUUUAGUUGCUCUUCCUAACUAAAGAGAGCAAAGACUAAGCAAGUAUGAGUAAAACAAAAGGAAACUUUAUUAACACAUCCUGGCUACCUUUAGGCCAGUAGAGAGGAAGAGGAGGAGGAUGUACAUGCCUAGAAAAGAAUAGGAAGUCACAGCCCUUGCCACUGCAGCCUGGGUGUGUGACACUGCAGUAGGCUAUGUCAAGGAAGGCUGUAGUCCCCAAGGAACUAGAUCUGCCUUGUCUUAUGGGAGAAAUGCAGAGCAGGAAUUCAGUAGUCUGGCAGGUCAAGCAGCAAAGGCCCAGCAAAGAAUGUGAGUCCUGUCAUCCAAGACCAUCUUAG